GACGAACGCUGGCGGCGUGCUUAACACAUGCAAGUCGAACGGAAAGGCCCUGCUUUUGUGGGGUGCUCGAGUGGCGAACGGGUGAGUAACACGUGAGUAACCUGCCCUUGACUUUGGGAUAACUUCAGGAAACUGGGGCUAAUACCGGAUAGGAGCUCCUGCUGCAUGGUGGGGGUUGGAAAGUUUCGGCGGUUGGGGAUGGACUUGCGGCUUAUCAGCUUGUUGGUGGGGUAGUGGCUUACCAAGGCUUUGACGGGUAGCCGGCCUGAGAGGGUGACCGGCCACAUUGGGACUGAGAUACGGCCCAGACUCCUACGGGAGGCAGCAGUGGGGAAUAUUGCACAAUGGGCGGAAGCCUGAUGCAGCAACGCCGCGUGCGGGGUGACGGCCUUCGGGUUGUAAACCGCUUUCGCCUGUGACGAAGCGUGAGUGACGGUAAUGGGUAAAGAAGCACCGGCUAACUACGUG
RNAcentral lists this ribosomal RNA (468 nucleotides) under uncultured bacterium. RNAcentral's name for it is "partial 16S ribosomal RNA". It matches the Rfam family "Bacterial small subunit ribosomal RNA", at positions 28 to 507 of the family's 1533-position model. The record is from RNAcentral.